Molecule: long non-coding RNA, 747 nt
Organism: Priapulus caudatus
Lineage: Eukaryota; Metazoa; Priapulida; Priapulimorpha; Priapulimorphida; Priapulidae
Exons: 3
Source: RefSeq, a predicted model, not a curated record
GGCAUCGUCAGUGCCAAGAAUGCGAUGACAAUAUUUAAAAAUGGAGACGAAGCCAUUCUUAACGGAACGACUGGCUUUAUAGAAAAAGCGAAUAAAGAGGAACCUGAACUAGAACAGGCUAAAGAUUGCACCAGUGAUUAGGAUGUCUGCAUUGAUGAUAAGGAAAACGAAAAGCUCCAAACGUCUACAAAAAAACCAUCCACGGCGAUCACACACGUGGGAACCAUGCAGGACAGCGUGGUCAUGUAUUAGAUAUAGGGAGGUGGUUAAUUAUCGCACAGGCAAGCGUAGGUCGGAUAGACACACUAGACACGAACAUGUUAAUGCGCGAUCUUCCAGCACAAAAGUCCUAUAUAGAUGACGAGUGGUUCGUUCAACGAUUCCACCUACACAAAUACUGGAAAUACACCACCAUGUUCAGGUAUGGUUCGAUCUACGACCCCCGUACCUUCCCAAAGACUAGUAAUGAGGGAUCCAUGUGCACGCAUGGCGCGAUUCCCGAUCCACAUCCAGGAGAAAGAAAAAGCACCUCAUGUACGCGCAACCUCUCAUCUAGAGCCAUGCUCUCCCCACUGCACAAUGUCACUGGCGAAGGAUCACAUUUACCAAGAACGCGGAAUUUCCUAAAAGCCGAUUGCUCGCAGUGAUAUGUUCUCACGUACGUAGCACUCAAACAACGUAUAAUAUUAGGAAGUACCACCAGAAAUGUAUCAUCGAACGUUAGAUAUAAUAGUUAAUAAUAACUAC